AUGAGGACAACCAGUUUCCUACUCAUUGUUGUUGUUGUGAUCGUGUAUGCCAUCGGUGUACCAGCCACGGGCUGUGGUGAAUCGAUGGGAACCCGAUUGUGGAACACGACAGGAGCUAAUGGAUGGGAACCAAUCAAGAACAUAAAUGACAAACACAUCCAGGAGCUUGGCAAUUGGGCGGUGUUGGAAUUCAGCAAGCGUGUGAACUGCCUGGUCAAGUUCAACAAGGUGGUGAGUGGCAGACAACAACUCAUGUCUGGCAUGAACUAUGAGCUCACCAUUGAUGUGACACACUUUGAGGGGACAGAUGGAAAAUACAAGGCAGAGUUGCAUGAGCAGGAGUUGACCAAGAAACGCCAACUUCUCUCCUUCAUGAACGUGAACUAA
This 387-nucleotide ribosomal RNA is filed under the name Triticum aestivum (bread wheat). RNAcentral describes it as "partial small subunit ribosomal RNA". Lineage: Eukaryota; Viridiplantae; Streptophyta; Magnoliopsida; Poales; Poaceae. The record is from RNAcentral.